CAAAAUCUGUUUGUUACCUACACUAAUAGAGAGAUAUUAAAUACUUGACCUGCAGAAAGUUGAACAAACAAUGCUGAGAUAUUAUUAUUUGCACCAUUCUUUGUCUACGUAUUUCCAAGGAUGACCCAAAUUUGAAUUUUGGUAAAAAUGCUGCCAAAUUUAUGUUAAACAAAAAAGUUAUUCCAAAUCAUGUUACUUAAGAGGGCCCUAGAGGUUGUGAAGGGAAACAAAAAGCAUUGAGAGAAAAUCACAAAGUAAAAUAAAAAUUACAAAUAUUUUGCCUUUAGAAAUAGAAAUUUUGAAUCACAGAAAUGUCUAAAUAUGAAAACACAAGAAUAUUUAUGGCAGUAUUUAAAAAUAAUUAAUCUAAGUGCAUAGGUCUGGGGAAUGAGUCACACUAAUGCCGAUGUCCAAUCAAACACUCAGAAGCUAAUAAAAGCAAUGAUCUAAAAUUGCUCUUUUCUGUUUGGUAUAAUUACAGUAUGUUCUUGGUAUAGCAGAAACCUGUGUGUGUGUGUGUGUGUGUGUGUGUGUAGGAAAGCCACACACAAAAUGUUCACGGCCUUUGCUUCUAU
RNAcentral lists this long non-coding RNA (575 nucleotides) under Marmota monax (woodchuck). The record is from RNAcentral. Lineage: Eukaryota; Metazoa; Chordata; Mammalia; Rodentia; Sciuridae.